RNAcentral lists this ribosomal RNA (471 nucleotides) under uncultured bacterium. RNAcentral describes it as "bacterial SSU rRNA". It matches the Rfam family "Bacterial small subunit ribosomal RNA", at positions 32 to 507 of the family's 1533-position model. The record is from RNAcentral.
AGUAACGUUGGCGGCGUGCCUAACACAUGCAAGUCGAACGCGUCCUAAGGGCAACUUUAGGAUGAGUGGCGAACGGGUGAGUAUCACGUGGGUAAUCUUCCUUCAAGUGGGGAAUAAGCUCUCGAAAGGGAGUCUAAUACCGCAUGACAUUCCGGGACACAAGUCCCGUAAUCAAAGCCGCAAGGCGCUUGAAGAUGAGCCUGCGUCCUAUUAGCUAGUUGGUGGGGUAACGGCCUACCAAGGCUUAGAUGGGUAGCCGGCCUGAGAGGGUGAACGGCCACACUGGGACUGAGACACGGCCCAGACUCCUACGGGAGGCAGCAGUGAGGAAUUUUGCGCAAUGGGGGAAACCCUGACGCAGCGACGCCGCGUGGAGGAUGAAGGCCUUCGGGUCGUAAACUCCUGUCAGAGGUGAAGAAUACCCGCAAGGGUUUGACGGUAACCUCAGAGGAAGCCCCGGCUAACUACGUG